AACGAACGCAGGCUGCAGGCUUAACACAUGCAAGUCGAACGCCCCGCAAGGGGAGUGGCAGACGGGUGAGUAACGCGUGGGAAUCUACCUAGUUCUACGGAACAACAGAGGGAAACUUCUGCUAAUACCGUAUACGCCCUAAGGGGGAAAGAUUUAUCGGAAUUAGAUGAGCCCGCGUAAGAUUAGCUAGUUGGUGGGGU
Molecule: ribosomal RNA, 200 nt
Filed under: uncultured bacterium
Lineage: Bacteria
Description: partial 16S ribosomal RNA
Rfam family: Bacterial small subunit ribosomal RNA
Source: RNAcentral